AAGUCGUAACAAGGUCUCCGUUGGUGAACCAGCGGAGGGAUCAUUACAGAGUUAUACAACUCCCAUACCAUUUGUAAACUUUACUCAGUUAUGCCUCGGCGUGAACUGCGUACGGAGUGUAGAGUGGUGUUACCCGGUAGCUUACCCUGUAGGUUACCCUGUAGCGCUACCCUGCAUCGCUCCCGCGCAGCCCGCCGGUGGUACACUAAACUCUUGUUUUAUUUUAUAUUCUGAGCGUAUUAUUUUAAUAAUUAAAACUUUCAACAACGGAUCUCUUGGUUCUG
Molecule: unclassified non-coding RNA, 284 nt
Filed under: Apiospora serenensis
Lineage: Eukaryota; Fungi; Ascomycota; Sordariomycetes; Amphisphaeriales; Apiosporaceae
Description: Arthrinium serenense partial internal transcribed spacer region
Rfam family: Eukaryotic small subunit ribosomal RNA (bases 1-46)
Source: RNAcentral